This 1550-nucleotide ribosomal RNA is filed under the name metagenome. Its description in RNAcentral is "bacterial SSU rRNA". It matches the Rfam family "Bacterial small subunit ribosomal RNA". The record is from RNAcentral.
AGAGUUUGAUCCUGGCUCAGAGUGAACGCUGGCGGCGUGGAUUAGGCAUGCAAGUCGAGCGAUCCUUGUUGAACUUGAUCUGGAGUGCUUGCACAAAAGUGAAAAGUUUGACGCGGGAUAGCGGCAAACGGGUGAGUAACGCGUAGAUAACCUUCCCAAAACACAGGGAUAGCAUCGUGAAAACGGUGGUAAUAUCUGAUGUUAUCAGACCUUCGCAUGGAGGACUGAUCAAAGGUGGGGACCCCUCGGGGCCUGCCGGUUUUGGAUGGAUCUGCGUCCUAUCAGCUUGUUGGUGAGGUAAUGGCUCACCAAGGCGUAUGACGGGUAGCUGGUCUGAGAGGAUGAACAGCCACACUGGGACUGAGACACUGCCCAGACUCCUACGGGAGGCUGCAGUCGAGAAUAUUUAGCAAUGGGCGAAAGCCUGACUAUGCGACGCCGCGUGAAGGAUGAAGGCUCUCGGGUCGUAAACUUCUUUUCUUAGGAGAGAAUGCUUAUCGUUUAAUAGGCGGUAAGUUUGACGGUACCUAAGGAAUAAGCCACGGCCAACUCCGUGCCAGCAGCCGCGGUAAUACGGAGGUGGCGAGCGUUACUCGGAAUUACUGGGUGUAAAGGGCAGGUAGGCGGCCUAUUAGGUGAGAGGUGAAAUCCGCUGGCUCAAUCAGCGAACAGCCUUUCAAACCGGUAGACUUGAGGUUGGAAGAGGAAAACGGAAUUCUCGGUGUAAGGGUGAAAUCUGUGGAUAUCGAGAAGAACACCAGCGGCGUAGGCGGUUUUCUGGUCCAAACCUGACGCUAAUCUGCGAAAGCUAGGGUAGCAAACAGAAUUAGAUACUCUGGUAGUCCUAGCUGUAAACGAUGAGCACUAGGUGUCGGGAGUUUAUCUCUCGGUGCCGUCGCUAACGCAUUAAGUGCUCCACCUGGGGACUACGGUCGCAAGGCUAAAACUCAAAGGAAUUGACGGGGACCCGCACAAGCGGUGGAACAUGUGGUUUAAUUCGAUGCUACGCGAAGAACCUCACCAAGGCUUGACAUGUAGGAAGUAGUGAACUGAAAGGGGAACGACCUGUCAAAUCAGGAACCUACACAGGUGCUGCAUGGCUGUCGUCAGCUCGUGUCGUGAGAUGUUGGGUUAAGUCCCGCAACGAGCGCAACCAUUGCCUUUUGUUGCCACCGUAUUUAACCUUCGGGUUAGGUACGAGCACUCUAAAGGGACUGCCUGGGGUAACCAGGAGGAAGGUGGAGAUGACGUCAAGUCAGUACGGCCCUUAUGCCUUGGGCUACACACGUGUUACAAUGGUCAGUACAAAGGGUAGCCAACCCGCGAGGGGGAGCAAAUCUCUAAAAACUGACCCCAGUUCGGAUUGGAGUCUGCAACUCGACUCUAUGAAGCCGGAAUCGCUAGUAAUGGGAGAGCAGCUCGCUCCCGUGAAUACGUUCCCGGGUCUUGUACACACCGCCCGUCAAGCGAUGGGAGCUGGGGGUACCCGAAGUCCUGUGUAGACAGGCCGAAGGUAAAACUGGUGACUGGCGCUAAGUCGUAACAAGGUA